This 443-nucleotide ribosomal RNA is filed under the name uncultured bacterium. Its description in RNAcentral is "bacterial SSU rRNA". It matches the Rfam family "Bacterial small subunit ribosomal RNA", at positions 434 to 875 of the family's 1533-position model. The record is from RNAcentral.
CCAUUUGAAAUCCAGCUGGCUAAUACCCGGUUGGGAUGACGGUACCCAAAGAAUAAGCACCGGCUAACUUCGUGCCAGCAGCCGCGGUAAUACGAAGGGUGCAAGCGUUACUCGGAAUUACUGGGCGUAAAGCGUGCGUAGGUGGUCGUUUAAGUCCGUUGUGAAAGCCCUGGGCUCAACCUGGGAACUGCAGUGGAUACUGGACGACUAGAGUGUGGUAGAGGGUAGCGGAAUUCCUGGUGUAGCAGUGAAAUGCGUAGAGAUCAGGAGGAACAUCCAUGGCGAAGGCAGCUACCUGGACCAACACUGACACUGAGGCACGAAAGCGUGGGGAGCAAACAGGAUUAGAUACCCUGGUAGUCCACGCCCUAAACGAUGCGAACUGGAUGUUGGGUGCAAUUUGGCACGCAGUAUCGAAGCUAACGCGUUAAGUUCGCCGCCUG